This 3172-nucleotide long non-coding RNA is filed under the name Hordeum vulgare. RNAcentral describes it as "long non-coding RNA (HVUL_LNC013301)". Lineage: Eukaryota; Viridiplantae; Streptophyta; Magnoliopsida; Poales; Poaceae. The record is from RNAcentral.
AGGCAGCGAGCAAUAUGACGUAGAAUCGAAACUAACAUAACAAGUCUAGAUAUGGGAUCAAGGUCAUGUCAUCUUGCCUGUGAUAUCCUCAGCUUGGAAUGGUUCUGGAUCGUCCUGCAAGUACUCUCCUGACUCCACGUAAUCGGUCUCCGCUCCCGGUGCUACCCAACACAAGAAUGACAGCCAAUGAACAGCAGCACCACAAAAUGCAACAAUCACAUGAUGCAUGAGAUGAAAGUUGAGCAUGCACCACUAUUUCUAACACUAGCACAAGCAAGAUAAACUACAACGAGUUCCUGGACAGAACUUUGCUCUAAACUAUUUGGACAUGCACGGAAAUGAUAUGGACAGAUGCAUCUCGUAAAAGCGGUGCAAAACCAUAUAAAGAACUUUGCAAACGGAGCUACGGAUCAACGGGAACCAACCAAACACGAUAUGAAGCCCUACGUGAAAGAUUCAUCACCACACACACAAUUGGCGCAAAUCUGGUGUUUCCAGGUUUUCAAGACAUAUAUUAACCCAACAUGAAUGAAAUGGAGCAAGGUAGAACACCCCAACAACAAUUAAACACAAACUUUGAACAAAAUGUCAAAACUACGCAAUCUGCCAAUUUCUGCAUCUUAGCUGUUUGUGAGCCACAUGCAACAUAGCUACAGGUCUUCAAACAAGACAAAUAAUAUAUGUGGAUGUUGCCAACCAAGAACACUACCAUCUCCAGCAAAAAUCACAGCAAAAGGAGUUAAACUCUAGAAGAUACAAGGCCACAAACUUUCCCAAAACCAUCAGUUCUCAGGGACUUAGUGAAAAUUUCUGCACCUGAGUUUCUGUUUCUGUUCUGAAGCCUUUUGACAGCAAUCAAAACACAAGCUACUGGACUCCAAAUGACUUGAAAAUUGACAGGAAGCUGCACAAACAUACCAGGUCCAAAGCACUAGCACUGAACUAAGUCCAGUUCUCAAUAUUCUGACCUGCACAACCUUAUCUACAGGGGAAGAAAAUGUUUUCAGCAUUCCAGACUUAGUGAAAUUUUCAGAGUUCAAAAUUCUGGAAUUUUUCCAGCCACAUGCCCACUUUGUCUAGGCAUAGUUUGCACACACAAGUUCCCAAGAGGUGUUUGACACCACUAUGGUAUUGAGCACAAACCCCUACAACUAACACUCUAAGAUCCAUGCCUUUGGGCUCCAUCUAUAUCAUGGAAACAAAGCCCAAACUUUCAACAAAGUGCAAAUGCAAUCCAUAAGGUAUGCUCCUAAAAUGACAAGUACAUAGGGGAGUUUCAUGUGCACAAUGACAAAGUGACAUGGGGGUUUGAACCCCAUGUUUGUGUCAUGCACAUCAACAACUCCAACACCACAAUUGCUCUCAAGCACUAGCAUCAAGCUCCACAUAAGAAAUCUUUAUCUAACAAGAGAGUAUGCACACCCCCCCACAUAUGGGCAUGUGAUGGUGCACACUCUCACAAGCAUCACUAGGAUCUUCCUAGUGUUCAUGUCACCAUCAAUAUGCAAUCUACCACCACAAACCACACCCUCACAUGCUAACAUAAAUAGCUAUCUAGAACCUCACUUCACCCCAAAACAUGUGAUGAGGGGGAGGCAUCCACACCCCACUAAACCAAUGCAAACAUCUAAGACUACAAGAUCCCUUAGACCACCUUAAACUCCCAAAGAUGGGCUCCACAAGAGUAGCUAGUGCAUCUUCUCCUUGAGGCACACACACACAAUUACCACACAUCACAAGUACCAUACCCACCAAGUGUUUACCAAGCUAGCAAUACCACCUCUACUUACUUGUAGGUGCACAACACACACACAUAGGGCCAUGUUCUCAACUACACUAGCAAGGAAUAAGAAGAUAAAACCCUCUUGCUGCCCAACACAAGGGAGGGAAAGUGCAAAAAAAAACGAAUAAAAUAAAUAGGCAGCAAAGGAAAGAAAGAAAAAUAAAAAAUAAAAAAUAGCAAAACCAUUCCAGGGUCCCUGGGAUUCGAACUAGGCACCUACUGGAUUACCAGUCACCAACAAACCACUGCACUAGCUGCGCUACUGGUGACAGGAACGCGACAGGAAACAGAUAACUCCCCUUGCUGGCUACCGUAUAGGAAAAGAAACUAAAAAUUGUGCCGAGAGGGGGGUUCGAACCCUGGAUCUCCCAUCAGGCGCACGCAUAUGACAGAGAGGUACUACCAUCAGGCUACGAACUGGAGUCUGGCUAAGACUAGCAAGUAAAGAAGAACUACACACGCCUCACGAGAAGCAUCCCGCCGGCGUCCGGAGCCGAGGACGUUGGCGGCGCCACUCCCGGCCACCACCGGCAGGGGAAACCGUCGGCGGGGGCCGCGGGACUCCCGGGGGAUCCAUUUUUGCCCUAAGCACGGGAGAAGGAGCACCCUUGGCUGCCUUGAACUGCAGCGGCGUUCCUGCUACGCUGCAGUUCGCCUGGGAGCACGGGACAGAGAGCUUGACGGGCAGCCCUGCCUGCGUCGCUACGCUGCACGGCCGGCGUGGAGCUCGUGCAUACGGCGCUGAGGGACGCGAGGAGAAGACCCGCACCUGCUGGGUGCCCACCUACGCGGGGAGGAAACCCUGUGCAAACUGCAAGCUCUUCUCUGAUGAUAUACGCCUACCGAGACCUAGGUGACACGACCCCAGCUGCCGGCGGCGAGGAGAGUUCCUCUGAUCAUGGCGCUGCUGCAGAGAGGGGGAGGAAGCCCUCCUCUGCACAGUACCUCCAUAACAACCCUACCCCACCCUGCACCACUCGCGACUACUGCACCCCCCCCACACUGCUAUCGGACAGAGAAAUGCACACACGCUGGAACGAGCCGGACCGCGGAGGCGGAAGGAAGGAGGACGAGGACGCGGCCUCACCUUGAGGAGAAGAGGGGCGUCGAUCGGGGAGGAGGAGCGUCGGAGAGGAAGAAGACGGCCAGACGAAGUCGUCCCGCCGAAGACCGAAGAAGGAGACGGACGCGGAUCGCCCGGUUCGUCCCGUUGACGAGGACGAGCUCGACGGGGGGGGGGGCGCUCCUCGGGGUCCUAGCGCCGGGAAUGGGACGCGGGGACUCACCCCGAGCCCCCGGACAUGGUGCCCAGUGCCGGAGACGACGGAUCGGCGGCUUGACGGGGGAGGCGCUGCACCCUCUCUCUCUGCUCACUCUCAGGACUUACCA